UACAUGUGGGGCAAGCGUUGUUCGGAAUUACUGGGCGUAAAGCGAGUGUAGGUGGUUGUCAUAGUCAGGCGUGAAGGCCUUGAGCUCAACUCAAGAAAUGUGCUUGAUACUGGGCAGCUAGAGGACCGGAGAGGAUAGUGGAAUUCCCAGUGUAGUGGUGAAAUACGUAGAGAUUGGGAAGAACACCAGUGGCGAAGGCGGCUAUCUGGACGGUUUCUGACACUAAGACUCGAAAGCGUGGGGAGCAAACAGG
RNAcentral lists this ribosomal RNA (253 nucleotides) under uncultured bacterium. Its description in RNAcentral is "partial 16S ribosomal RNA". It matches the Rfam family "Bacterial small subunit ribosomal RNA", at positions 524 to 776 of the family's 1533-position model. The record is from RNAcentral.